This is a long non-coding RNA of Neopelma chrysocephalum (saffron-crested tyrant-manakin), 292 nucleotides long. RefSeq lists it as uncharacterized. The record is from RefSeq and is a predicted model, not a curated record. The transcript has 3 exons. NCBI's taxonomy places the organism in Eukaryota, Metazoa, Chordata, Aves, Passeriformes, Pipridae.
GUGAGGUGGAAUUCUCCAGGUGAGUGUUGUCAGCACCUUAAACUCUGGACACAACUUGUGCUUAAGAGUUUGCAGGUUUACAGAACCAUCAAGGGAGAAGGAUGAGAAAACCUGUUUGUGCUGGUACUGACAGAGAAAUGAAUUUCUCCACCGACUUGAGUUUCAGAGGUGAUUAUAUCUCUUGGAGAACCUGUGGCCUGGAAUUAGUUUAUCCAUGAGCUUUGACCUCCAGCCCAUUCCAGGCCCUGCUUGAAGCCCCAGGGGAGUGGAGGGGGGUAUGAGUUUGCUUAAG